RNAcentral lists this long non-coding RNA (1182 nucleotides) under Triticum aestivum (bread wheat). Its description in RNAcentral is "long non-coding RNA (TAES_LNC003363)". Lineage: Eukaryota; Viridiplantae; Streptophyta; Magnoliopsida; Poales; Poaceae. The record is from RNAcentral.
AGCUACGCUAUGAGGAUCAUCUAAGCUUGUUUGGAUCCAGUAGAUACCAUUUUUGAGGUAAGAAUGGCUAUGAAUAUUAAUUACCGCUGCAUAUUCUUUGAGACCGUGCAAAAUUCUAAGAUAAAAUGCUUAUAUGAAGUUGAUAGGUAGCAGAAACUGCUUAUGCCUGAAACUAAAUAGUAGAGCUACAUCAUAUGCUCAUUGGUCAUUUUGCUUGGAGACAUACUGAGUUCGUUAAGCCUACUAAUUAGCUGAACAAGUUCAGCCAAUAGGUAGAUGUUAUUUGUUCUUUCUUGCUCUUUCUUUUGUUGAUUUUCAGUCCUAGUCUCACAAAACCGCGCUACAGUUUCACUUAUAAUGAGCCAAGAGAGAGAAUGUUCAUUAGUUUUAUUUGGAUUUAGUGUACAUAAAUAAUUAGCUAAGUUUGGUUAUAUUUAGCAUUAGAUGUUUCCUAGCAAUGAAAAAUGGUGGCCUGUUUUUUCCCUUGACAAGUUACAUUAGCAAUGUGUAAAAGUUUGUCAAAGCUGGCUGUGUAAACUUGUCUCCUAGGAGGAUGUAAAUUCCCUCUCUUUACAAUGCAAUGAAACGCAAAAGCCAUUUGCAUUUUCUCGAAAAAAAACUGAAGGCCAAGGUAGAUUCCUCAAUGUACAUAUUGUUUGCACUUUCUAAGUACUGAAGUAUGUAUAUUUUAGAUAAAGUAGCAUUUGCUAGUAGAGAUCAUGGUUGGGUCAACAUAUAUUUCCACUGAACAUUGGCAUAUUUAGAGCUUUCUAUAUAUUUUAUAUUUUCUUUCAGCGAGUUUUUCUGAAGAUGUGUCAAUGUUCAGCCUGGAGAAUGUUCAUGUAAAGGCCAGUACACAAGCAUGUCUACUUUACCAUAUGGAUGGUGGAUUUACAGGACAAAUUUAUGCACUAGCUUUGAAUUCCAUGACGUUGCACGGACUAUGUGGAACCCACUGAUUCAUAGUGAUGUAUUUUCUUCGAGAAAGAGAGGACUGUGCAAUCAGAAGUACAAUAUGUGAUCAUCAAGUGUAAGAGAUGGCAAGAAUAUGUGGUAUGUAUUUCAGUCUGCGUACUAACGAAGUGUAUUGACUGUUCAUGCUGCUAUAAUAAGCUCGAUGAUUUACUAUGGAAACAUAAAAACACUUAAGAAGCAUCUUAAUUUUUAUGUACUGAGAUUUUA